Molecule: non-coding RNA, 45 nt
Organism: Schistosoma mansoni
Lineage: Eukaryota; Metazoa; Platyhelminthes; Trematoda; Strigeidida; Schistosomatidae
Source: Rfam
AUCCAGUUGACGAGUCCCAAAUAGGACGAAAGUUGCGUCCUAGAU